Molecule: ribosomal RNA, 467 nt
Filed under: uncultured bacterium
Lineage: Bacteria
Description: partial 16S ribosomal RNA
Rfam family: Bacterial small subunit ribosomal RNA
Source: RNAcentral
GAUGAACGCUGGCGGCGUGCUUAACACAUGCAAGUCGAACGGAAAGGCUCCUGCUUGCAGGGGUACUCGAGUGGCGAACGGGUGAGUAACACGUGGGUGAUCUGCCCUGCACUUCGGGAUAAGCCUGGGAAACUGGGUCUAAUACCGGAUAGGACCACAUUUUGGAUGGUGUGGUGGAAAGUUUUUCGGUGUGGGAUGAGCUCGCGGCCUAUCAGCUUGUUGGUGGGGUAAUGGCCUACCAAGGCGUCGACGGGUAGCCGGCCUGAGAGGGUGUACGGCCACAUUGGGACUGAGAUACGGCCCAGACUCCGACGGGAGGCAGCAGUGGGGAAUAUUGCACAAUGGGCGCAAGCCUGAUGCAGCGACGCCGCGUGGGGGAUGACGGCCUUCGGGUUGUAAACUCCUGUCGCUAGGGACGAAGCGUUUUUGUGACGGUACCUGGAGAAGAAGCACCGGCUAACUACGUG